AUAGUUCGGGAUCGCCAAAUUGAGUUCAAUCGCCAAUCAGGCGGUCAUCGCUAGUAGGGGGAACGUGGUUUGUUUGGCGACAAAUUUUCAUUCGUCGCCAAUUUGGCGACAAACUCAAAAUUUGUCUCUGAAUUUGCAAAGAGAAGGGAGGCUGUGUAGGGCGCAUUAGGGCGAUGGGGAAGGGCACGGGGAGCUUCGGGAAGAGGAGGAACAAGACCCACACGCUGUGCGUGCGGUGGAACUUCCACCGCCAAAAGAGUCGGUGUAGUUCCUGCGGCUACCCCGCUACUCGGAUCUGCAAGUUUUGUUCUUGCAACAUAUAAUUGGAGUGUGAAGGCAUCAGAAGGAAGACAACUGGUACUGGAAGGAUGAGAUAUCUCCGUCAUGUGCCACGAAGUUCAAGAACAAUUUCAGAGAAGGUACUGAAGCAGUGCCAAGAAAGAAGGCUGCAGCUGCAGCUGUUUAAACUUAAUUGUUUCUUUUUAGCUUCUAGAGUCUCAGGGUUUCUUAAAACUCAAUUGUUGAACGGCAAGACUUCUUUGGAUGCCUUUUGCUUUGUAUGUUCAUUGAUCUCAAUUUGUUUUUGGAAUGAACUCAUUUCUGUCACACUAAAGAGAGUGGACUAAAUAAUGAAAUCAAUACUAUAUGAUACAGAGAUCAUAUUUUGACCUCA
Zingiber officinale is the source of this 673-nucleotide RNA transcript. RefSeq lists it as uncharacterized. The transcript has 4 exons. NCBI's taxonomy places the organism in Eukaryota, Viridiplantae, Streptophyta, Magnoliopsida, Zingiberales, Zingiberaceae. The record is from RefSeq and is a predicted model, not a curated record.